RNAcentral lists this ribosomal RNA (372 nucleotides) under uncultured organism. RNAcentral's name for it is "bacterial SSU rRNA". It matches the Rfam family "Bacterial small subunit ribosomal RNA", at positions 526 to 896 of the family's 1533-position model. The record is from RNAcentral.
CAGAGGUGGCUAGCGUUGUUCGGAAUUACUGGGCGUAAAGGGCGCGUAGGCGGCCUUCUAAGUCGGACGUGAAAUCCCCAGGCUUAACUUGGGAACUGCGUCUGAUACUGGAAGGCUUGAGUGCGGGAGAGGGAUGUGGAAUUCCAGGUGUAGCGGUGAAAUGCGUAGAUAUCUGGAGGAACACCGGUGGCGAAGGCGGCAUCCUGGACCGACACUGACGCUGAGGCGCGAAAGCCAGGGGAGCAAACGGGAUUAGAUACCCCGGUAGUCCUGGCCCUAAACGAUGAGUGCUUGGUGUGGCGGGUAUCGAUCCCUGCCGUGCCGAAGCUAACGCAUUAAGCACUCCGCCUGGGGAGUACGGUCGCAAGGCUG